AGAAAGCUCUGUUUCAGAGAAUAAACAGUUAGAUUUUAAGGGUGGCUCUGUAAGAUUGGCAGAAGAUAUUAAUAAGACAUGGUGGUUGUUUGCAGGUGUUUGAUAGACUCUCGAUCUAUGUAACUGAAUAAUACCGUUCUUCUUAUUGAAUCAAAUGGAGUUACAGCUCUGAUUGUGAUAAGCACUCAAGUUCUCAUAACGAACUAAGCACUCAUCACCAGUCUCAUAGCGACUGUGAAGUAUAGACUCAUAACGUCUAGUACAAUCAAGAUCAAAGCAUAAAAGACUCGUAACAGAACUACUCUAUAUUUAUAGUCUUCGAGUUGCCUUUCAGCUCCGCAACUGCAAAGCCUCUCUCUGAAGUAGAAGCUUCCCAACUUCUUUAUUUAAAUGAGUAACCGCAGUUUCAUUCAACGGCUUCUCCCGCUACUUUUCCUUUCUUCUUUCGAUAGUAUACCUUCUUAUACCUAUCAAUACUUCCCCCAACGAAAUCCAGCUUGCCCUCAAGCUGGUAAUCAGGAAAACAAGUGAUGAAUUCUUGAUAUGACACCCACGAAUUCUCGAGAGAAGACUUAUCCUGCCAUUUGACCAACAACUCUAACUCUCCUGUAACAUUGUAUCGUUUGUCCAAGACAUCCUCUGGUACUACCAAAUCAUCGGCUGCUGUAAGACACCCCGGAGGUAGAACACUGCACUGCACUUGCUGCCCCACCGCAAGCUUUAAUUGAGACACGUGAAAGACAGGAUGGAUGCGAGCAUCAGCAGGCAAUUGUAGUUUGUACGCAGUGUUCCCCACACGAGCACUGACCUUAUAGGGUCCGUAGAACUUGGCAGCUAACUUCUGACAAAAACGACGAACUACUGUCUUCUGUCGAUAAGGUUGUAACUUCAGGUAAACCAUAUCGCCUAUUUCAAACUCCACAUCACGCCUACUCUUGUCCGCUUGAUUCUUCAUGAUUUCUUGAGCCCGUAAUAGAUUCUGUUUCAAAUCCUCUAGAGCUUCAUCACGGUCACGCAAAGCCUUGUCCAGUUCAAAGUUCGUCGUGGAACCCGAUUCAAAACGCAGCAAAGGAGGUGGAUCACGACCAUAAACAACCUUGAACGGUGUAGUCUGAAGAGACUUAUGAUACGAAGUAUUGUACCACAAUUCUGCCCAAGCCAAAUACGAAUGCCAAGUUCUCGGAUGCGACGAUGAAAAACAGCGUAAGUACGUUUCCAAACAUCUAUUUAGAACCUCUGACUGUCCGUCGGUCUGCGGGUGAAAGGCAGUGCUGUAUUUCAAUGUCGUGCCAGCCAAACGAAAUACCUCAGACCAGAACGAGCUCAAAAAGAUACGGUCACGAUCAGAGACUAUACUUUUUGGAAACCCAUGCAGCUUGACUACCUCUGCAAUGAACUUCUUAGCCACGUCUAAAGCCGAGAAUGGAUGUUUUAAUGCGACAAAAUGAGCGAACUUGCUGAGACGGUCAAUCACCACCAGUAUUACGUUAAACCCAUUCGAAGAGGGCAAUCCUUCAAUGAAAUCCAUAUUUAUAUCUUCCCAUACUAACUCCGGAAUUGGCAGUGGUUGGAGAAGGCCUGCCGGAGACAAGGUAGAAUGUUUAUGUGUUUGACACACUGCACAAGAGGCAACAUAUUGUUGAAUCGUCUUAUACAUGCCUUUCCAGAAGAACGAACAUUGUACCCUCUUUACUGUCUUCAACACCCCAGAAUGACCACCAAGUCUGCUAUCGUGAGCUUCCUUCAAAAUAGUAGGUAUGAAACGAGAUUGUUUCGGAAUUACUAACCGUUGUUUGGACCACAAGUUCCCGUCAACCACCGAGUAUUUCUUAGAUAUCAACUCCUUCUUAUCUAUCUUCGAAAUAACACUUUGAAUUCCACUAUCUUCCUUGAUUUCUUUAAACAGAUCCUCCCAUUGCAGAGCCGUUGGUACCGUUAAAGCCAGCAAUAAAGAAGAAACUGACAUUGAGCGAGAUAACCCAUCAGCUGCUUUGUUCUCUGGCCCUGGUUUGUAGAAGAUGUCAAAAUCGAAGCCCAAAAUCUUAGUAAGCCAUUUCUGAUAUUCCAUAUUCACUUCUCUUUGUUCCAACAAAAAUUUUAAGCUUCGCUGAUCGGUGUGAACAUGAAACUUCCGACCCAACAGGUAAUGUUUCCAUUUCCUAAUAGCCAACACUAUCGCCAUAAGUUCUCGUUCGUAAGCCGGUUUUUGAUGUUCUCUUGGCGUCAAAGCGUGACUAAAAACGCUAUAGGCCGUUUAUCUUGCAUCAAUACUGCUCCCAAGCCAAAUCCCGAUGCAUCUGACUCAAUAACAAAUGUUUUAUUAAAAUCCGGUAAGGCCAACACAGGGGCAUGGACCAUAGCAUACUUCAGUUUGCUGAACGCUUCCUGUGCUAACUGGGACCAGCAAAACUGAUCUUUCUUCAGUAAUUCCGUCAAUGGUCGACCAAUGCUGCCAUAGUCUCUGAUGAACUUCCGAUAGUAGCCUGUCAAGCCUAAAAAUCCACGCAGCUGUUUCACUGUUUUCGGUUCCGGCCAUUCUUGCAUUGCACUGAUCUUUGCAGAGUCUGUUGCUACCCCCUCCUUUGAUAUCAUGUGACCCAAAUACUCAACUGACGACACUCCAAAAGAACAUUUCUUCUGGUUAGCGAAUAGAGUUUGUUCACGCAGCACUUGUAGGACCAAACGGAUGUGUUCCGCAUGACUUUCCUCGUCUCUACUGUAUACCAAAAUAUCGUCAAAGAAAACGAGAACAAACUUUCGGAGAAAUGGUUUGAAGACCUGAUUCAUGAGAGCUUGGAAUGUGGCCGGUGCGUUUGUGAGGCCAAAAGGCAUCACUAGAAACUCAUAAUGACCCUCCACAGUCCGAAAAGCUGUCUUCGCAAUAUCAGCUUCUACCAUUCUGAUCUGAUGAUAACCCGAACGCAAGUCCAAUUUUGUAAAGAUCGUGGCUCCAUGUAACUCGUCGAGCAGUUGAUCAAUGACUGGAAUAGGGUAUUUAUCCAACACUGUAGCUCUAUUCAGUGCCCUAUAGUCCACACAAAAACGUAGUGACCCGUCCUUCUUCUUUACUAGCAAAACAGGACUUGAGAAGGGACUGGUACUUGGUCUGAUUAUUCCACUUGUAAGCAUUUCGUUCACCAUCUGUUCCAUAGCAAUUUUACUUGCAUGAGGAUAUCGGUACGGUCGAACAGAAACGGAAGAUACUCCAGGUUGUAGAAUGAUCGCGUGUUCCUUUCCCCUGAACGGUGGAAGUGUUGUAGGAACCUUGAAAACAUCAGCGAAUUCUUGGAGUAUCUCAGAGAGUGUAGGACGAACUUCUGGAAACGAAGAUGUAGCUAUAGAGGUAGCAAGCAGCGCUUCUCUUCCUGACUUGCUAACUGUAUAGACUGGUUUCAAUGACUUGAAAGAAAAUUUGGUACAAUGUAGGGACUUAUCGCCAUACAAAGUAACAUUUUUCCCGUCGUAGGUAAACGAAAAGACCUGCUCCUUCCAGUCUACUUCGCACGUACCUAACGUUUCAAGCCAUUGAACGCCGAGUAUCACAUCUACGUUCCCCAGUUCAAGAGAGAUGAAGUCACUUGUGAAGUUGGUGUCAUUUAACCGGAAAGUAACUGCUUGGCCAACUCCCGAGGCUUUUACAGUCACUCCGUUUCCCAACAACACGUCCAAGCUACUAUCUGCACAAACUUUCAAUCGUAGCUUGUCCACAAUUUCCGGUGAGAUGAAAUUGUGUGAUGCUCCGCUAUCGAGCAUGACUAUCACCUCUUUGUCUUGUAUAAAUCCCCUCAUCUUAGUUGUUCUCGGGGAGUCGAUGCCUAGGUAAGAGUUCAGUGACAACGUAUGUAAGAUUUGUGUCGCUUUAGAGGCUUGAUCUUCCUCUUCUCCAUCAGAAUCACACACCUCAAGCUGUAGUCCGUUGAUCACCGUUAAAACACGUAGUUGUCUAUUAGGACAGAGCGGCUUGUGAGCUGGUGUCCAGGGUGCUUUGCAUUUGAAACAGACCUUGUCUUUUCUCAUGCGAUCCAGUUCGGCAUCUGUAUGUUGUAAUCUUGGUCUCAUAGCAUCUCGUUGUGGCGCUACAUUUUCCUUGUUUGCCGUUGACCCAAACUUGAGAGCUUCAGUCUGUGGCUUAUUAGUGUUCGUAGCAGCACGAGUUACUGCCGUUUGUCUUUGAUAGCCUCCCCGCCCUUCACUAGCAGCCGAGCUUAUCACUCGACAAAACGUAGUACUCUGCAUUUUUAAUACCGCCAGCUUAUGUUGAGUUAACGUAACCGGCUCUUUCAUGCGGAUAACCUCCUUCAUAUCUGGUUUCAAACCGUUAAAGAAUAUCUUUAUCAAGUUCUUUUCAUCCACCCCUGUUACUUGAUUCCUCAAUGCUUCAAACUCAUUCACGUAAUCCUUAAUCUCGCCUUCUUGUUGUAAGCGAAAUAAUCUUGCUGCCGGGUCAUUAUCAAUAGGACCUCCAAACCUGUCCAACAUCCUCUGCGUAAACUGAUCCCAACUGAAGAAUGGUUCGCUGAUAACCUCUCCGUUGAACCAUUGUAACACUGGCCCCUCUAGGCUUAGAGAUACCAACUGAAGCUUUUCUUCCUCGUUGUAGUUACCGUACCUGAAAAAACGCUCCACACGGGAGAUCCAAUCGAAAGGCAAAGGACCAGAGAACACAGGCAUUUCUAUCUUUCUCAACAUUUUAUCACGAGAUGCAAUCGAAUCUUGAAUUCUCCGAUAACCUAAAUGUGUUGGAGAUUGUUCCGGUUGAGUACGAGAUAACGGUACCUGAUCAACCGGAGGUUGCGACGCUGAAGCGAUUUCUUUCCCCGGCCGUUGAGUGAACAUCGCCGUUUCUUCGAAUCGCGUCAGCAUAUCCGUAAUAACGCUCAUCUUCUGUUCCAGAGCUCCAAAUCUCGAAUUCGAUUCCUCUCCCAUCGAUUCCAUCUUCUUCUCCAGCGACUCGAACUUCGCCGUCGCUGCUCGCUCGCUCCGAGCAAGCUUCUCGUAAUUGUGCUUCGUCAGCUCCAUCUCGUCUUGAAUCUGUUGAAGAUCCAUCGAUUUUGCUGACUCUCCGAUCGUCGACUUCUCUCGAUCACCUCCGUUACGCGUUUCCACCAUCUCGCAGCGUCGCGGUGGCUCCGACCAGUUUCGCCGCACCAAUGAUAGACUCUCGAUCUAUGUAACUGAAUAAUACCGUUCUUCUUAUUGAAUCAAAUGGAGUUACAGCUCUGAUUGUGAUAAGCACUCAAGUUCUCAUAACGAACUAAGCACUCAUCACCAGUCUCAUAGCGACUGUGAAGUAUAGACUCAUAACGUCUAGUACAAUCAAGAUCAAAGCAUAAAAGACUCGUAACAGAACUACUCUAUAUUUAUAGUCUUCGAGUUGCCUUUCAGCUCCGCAACUGCAAAGCCUCUCUCUGAAGUAGAAGCUUCCCAACUUCUUUAUUUAAAUGAGUAACCGCAGUUUCAUUCAACGGCUUCUCCCGCUACUUUUCCUUUCUUCUUUCGAUAGUAUACCUUCUUAUACCUAUCAGUGUUACCUUCUCGUCAUAAGAGCAUGUCCACACCCCGCUCGCUUCCUUUCUUGACAAUGCGUGCCACCCAAAAUUUCACCAGAAGGUGCGAGGUUGCCAUGGAUGGAG
Molecule: long non-coding RNA, 5633 nt
Filed under: Brassica rapa (field mustard)
Lineage: Eukaryota; Viridiplantae; Streptophyta; Magnoliopsida; Brassicales; Brassicaceae
Description: long non-coding RNA (BRAP_LNC005324)
Source: RNAcentral